AGUGAACGCUGGCGGUAGGCCUAACACAUGCAAGUCGAACGGCAGCACAGUAAGAGCUUGCUCUUACGGGUGGCGAGUGGCGGACGGGUGAGGAAUACAUCGGAAUCUACUUUUUCGUGGGGGAUAACGUAGGGAAACUUACGCUAAUACCGCAUACGACCUACGGGUGAAAGCAGGGGAUCUUCGGACCUUGCGCGAUUGAAUGAGCCGAUGUCGGAUUAGCUAGUUGGCGGGGUAAAGGCCCACCAAGGCGACGAUCCGUAGCUGGUCUGAGAGGAUGAUCAGCCACACUGGAACUGAGACACGGUCCAGACUCCUACGGGAGGCAGCAGUGGGGAAUAUUGGACAAUGGGCGCAAGCCUGAUCCGGCCAUACCGCGUGGGUGAAGAAGGCCUUCGGGUUGUAAAGCCCUUUUGUUGGGAAAGAGAAGCAGCAGGUUAAUACCCCGCUGUUCUGACGGUACCCAAAGAAUAAGCACCGGCUAACUUCGUG
RNAcentral lists this ribosomal RNA (492 nucleotides) under uncultured bacterium. RNAcentral's name for it is "partial 16S ribosomal RNA". It matches the Rfam family "Bacterial small subunit ribosomal RNA", at positions 29 to 507 of the family's 1533-position model. The record is from RNAcentral.